AACGAACGCUGGCGGCAUGCCUAACACAUGCAAGUCGAACGAGACCUUCGGGUCUAGUGGCGCACGGGUGCGUAACGCGUGGGAACCUGCCCUUAGGUUCGGAAUAACUCCCCGAAAGGGGUGCUAAUACCGGAUAAUGUCUUCGGACCAAAGAUUUAUCGCCUUUGGAUGGGCCCGCGUUGGAUUAGCUUGUUGGUAGGGUAAAAGCCUACCAAGGCGACGAUCCAUAGCUGGUCUGAGAGGAUGAUCAGCCACACUGGGACUGAGACACGGCCCAGACUCCUACGGGAGGCAGCAGUGGGGAAUAUUGGACAAUGGGCGAAAGCCUGAUCCAGCAAUGCCGCGUGAGUGAUGAAGGCCGUAGGGUUGUAAAGCUCUUUUACCCGGGAUGAUAAUGACAGUACCGGGAGAAUAAGCUCCGGCUAACUCCGUG
This 433-nucleotide ribosomal RNA is filed under the name uncultured bacterium. Its description in RNAcentral is "partial 16S ribosomal RNA". It matches the Rfam family "Bacterial small subunit ribosomal RNA", at positions 29 to 507 of the family's 1533-position model. The record is from RNAcentral.